Molecule: ribosomal RNA, 468 nt
Filed under: uncultured bacterium
Lineage: Bacteria
Description: partial 16S ribosomal RNA
Rfam family: Bacterial small subunit ribosomal RNA
Source: RNAcentral
GAAGAAGGCUGGAGGCGUGCUUAACACAUGCAAGUCGAACGGAAAGGCCCUGCUUUUGUGGGGUGCUCGAGUGGCGAACGGGUGAGUAACACGUGAGUAACCUGCCCUUGACUUUGGGAUAACUUCAGGAAACUGGGGCUAAUACCGGAUAGGAGCUCCUGCUGCAUGGUGGGGGUUGGAAAGUUUCGGCGGUUGGGGAUGGACUCGCGGCUUAUCAGCUUGUUGGUGGGGUAGUGGCUUACCAAGGCUUUGACGGGUAGCCGGCCUGAGAGGGUGACCGGCCACAUUGGGACUGAGAUACGGCCCAGACUCCUACGGGAGGCAGCAGUGGGGAAUAUUGCACAAUGGGCGGAAGCCUGAUGCAGCAACGCCGCGUGCGGGAUGACGGCCUUCGGGUUGUAAACCGCUUUCGCCUGUGACGAAGCGUGAGUGACGGUAAUGGGUAAAGAAGCACCGGCUAACUACGUG